CAGUAGCCGCGGGAAAACGGAGGGAGCUAGCGUUAUUCGGAAUUACUGGGCGUAAAGCGCACGUAGGCGGCUUUGUAAGUUAGAGGUGAAAGCCUGGAGCUCAACCCCAGAAUUGCCUUUAAGACUGCAUCGCUUGAAUCCAGGAGAGGUGAGUGGAAUUCCGAGUGUAGAGGUGAAAUUCGUAGAUAUUCGGAAGAACACCAGUGGCGAAGGCGGCUCACUGGACUGGUAUUGACGCUGAGGUGCGAAAGCGUGGGGAGCAAACAGGAUUAGAUACCCCCGUAGUCCCUGUCUCUUAUAC
RNAcentral lists this ribosomal RNA (301 nucleotides) under uncultured bacterium. Its description in RNAcentral is "partial 16S ribosomal RNA". It matches the Rfam family "Bacterial small subunit ribosomal RNA", at positions 509 to 807 of the family's 1533-position model. The record is from RNAcentral.